Molecule: long non-coding RNA, 761 nt
Organism: Cervus elaphus (red deer)
Lineage: Eukaryota; Metazoa; Chordata; Mammalia; Artiodactyla; Cervidae
Exons: 3
Source: RefSeq, a predicted model, not a curated record
GGAGGAGAAGGGGACGACAGAGGAUGAGAUGGCUGGAUGGCAUCACUGACUCGAUGGACGUGCAGAGGCAGAGAGCAUGGGCUCCUCCUGAGGAAAUUCACCUGCGAAAGGGCACAGGUGGUUUCACCUCACAGUCACCGAGGCGCACCGCACCAUUCGCUUACCGGACGCCUUCCGAGUCUGAGAUUGGCCUAAGUAACUUUCUUGAACAACUGAAUGCAGUAGAAGUGACAUUUUGAGGCUUCUGAGACUAGAUCAUCACAAGCAGACUUACAGACCCCACUGCUUCACUUUCUUGGAGCACUCACUCUUGGGGUUCUGAGCUGUCUUGUAAGUAAGAGGUCAACCACCCUGAGACUUCCCUGCUGGAAAGACGCAUAUGAAGAGAGCGUGGAGAGAGCAAUGCUGGCCGUCCCCAAGCUGUUCCAGCCUUCGGAGGCAGAUAUGUGAGUGAAGACAACGCCUUGAAGGACACUGCAGUCCCAGCAAAUAGCUGGUGAAGAAGAACCGAAGAAGCCAGCCAACAGCCUUACUGAGGCCCCAGAUAUAUAUGACCCCUGUGGGGCUGUCUCAGACAUCUCCAGCUGUUCAAACCACCCCAAUCGAGGAUCCAGGAUUUUGUGAAGCAAGAAUAAUCCAUCCCUGCUGCGCCCUGCCAGAACUAGUGACCCACAAAAUUGUGAGCACAGUAUGUGAUUAUCGUUUCAGAGCAAUAAACAACCAAACGCCUGGUAACCUCCUAGCUGGGUGAGCCCUGGUAG